CCUACGGGUGGCAGCAGUCGAGAAUCAUUCACAAUGGGGGAAACUCUGAUGGUGCGACGCCGCGUGGGGGAAUGAAGGUCUUCGGAUUGUAAACUCCUGUCAUGUGGGAGCAAAUUAAAAAGAGAGUACCACAUGAGGAAGAGACGGCUAACUCUGUGCCAGCAGCCGCGGUAAUACAGAGGUCUCAAGCGUUGUUCGGAAUCACUGGGCGUAAGGCGUGCGUAGGCUGGUUCGUAAGGCGUAUGUGAAAGGCGCGGGCUCAACCGGAGGACGGCACAUGAUACUGCGAGAUUAGAGUAAAGGAGAGGGAAGCGGAAUUCGCGGUGUAGCAGUGAAAUGCGUAGAUAUAGAGAAGAACACUCGUGGCGAAGGCGGGUUCCUGGACAGUAACUGACGCUGAGGCUCGAAGGCCAGGGGAGCGAAAAGGAUUAGAUACCCGAGUAGUC
RNAcentral lists this ribosomal RNA (446 nucleotides) under uncultured bacterium. Its description in RNAcentral is "partial 16S ribosomal RNA". It matches the Rfam family "Bacterial small subunit ribosomal RNA", at positions 338 to 795 of the family's 1533-position model. The record is from RNAcentral.